RNAcentral lists this small RNA (287 nucleotides) under Pan troglodytes (chimpanzee). RNAcentral describes it as "processed transcript". The record is from RNAcentral. Lineage: Eukaryota; Metazoa; Chordata; Mammalia; Primates; Hominidae.
UGUCUUGUAAGAUGUAAGAAGCUUGCAUAACCCCUGUGAACAACCAUAGGAGAAUGUGAAGUUUCCAAAGGAACGUUUAAAGUUAGUUCCGAAGUAGUCUUCCUGAUCAUGUGUGCAAGACUUCAUGACCAAGCUCCCAGAUGAUCCAGGUCAGUCCUGUUUGGGCUUUUAGAAACCAGAGGAGUUGGAAAUUCAGGGACAGUCUUGUCAAAAUUCUCCAUCUUGAUUUGAUAUUCACCUUUGGAACCUCGGGUCAACAGAGAUGCAAAACAGUGAUGUAACAUGAU